RNAcentral lists this ribosomal RNA (253 nucleotides) under uncultured bacterium. RNAcentral describes it as "partial 16S ribosomal RNA". It matches the Rfam family "Bacterial small subunit ribosomal RNA", at positions 524 to 776 of the family's 1533-position model. The record is from RNAcentral.
UACGGGGGGGGCAAGCGUUGUUCGGAUUUACUGGGCGUAAAGCGCACGUAGGCGGCGCCGUAAGUCAGGGGUGAAAUCCCGGAGCUCAACUCCGGAACUGCCCUUGAAACUGCAGUGCUAGAAUCUUGGAGAGGCGAGUGGAAUUCCGAGUGUAGAGGUGAAAUUCGUAGAUAUUCGGAAGAACACCAGUGGCGAAGGCGACUCGCUGGACAAGUAUUGACGCUGAGGUGCGAAAGCGUGGGGAGCAAACAGG